GUUGAACGCUGGCGGCAGGCCUAACACAUGCAAGUCGAGCGGAUGAAGGGAGCUUGCUCCUGGAUUCAGCGGCGGACGGGUGAGUAAUGCCUAGGAAUCUGCCUGGUAGUGGGGGAUAACGUCCGGAAACGGGCGCUAAUACCGCAUACGUCCUGAGGGAGAAAGUGGGGGAUCUUCGGACCUCACGCUAUCAGCUGACCCUAGGGCGGAUUAGCUAGUUGGUGUGGUAAAGGCCUACCAAGGCGACGAUCCGUAACCGGUCUGAGAGGAUGAUCAGUCACACUGGAAAUGAGACAAGGUCCCGACUCCUAAGGGAGGCAGCAGUGGGGAAUAUUGGGCAAUGGGCGAAAGCCUGAACCAGCCAAGCCGCGUGUGUGAAGAAGGUCUUCGGAUUGUAAAACACUUUUAGUUGGGAGGAAGGGCAGUAAGUUAAUACCUUGCUGUUUUGACGUUACCAACAGAAUAAGCACCGGCUAACUUCGUG
RNAcentral lists this ribosomal RNA (484 nucleotides) under uncultured bacterium. RNAcentral's name for it is "partial 16S ribosomal RNA". It matches the Rfam family "Bacterial small subunit ribosomal RNA", at positions 28 to 507 of the family's 1533-position model. The record is from RNAcentral.